GAUGAAGAACGCAGCGAAAUGCGAUAAGUAAUGUGAAUUGCAGAAUUCAGUGAAUCAUCGAAUCUUUGAACGCACAUUGCGCCCCCUGGUAUUACGGGGGGCAUGCCUGUUCGAGCGUCAUUUCACCACUCAAGCCUCGCUUGGUAUUGGGCAACGCGGUCCGCCGCGUGCCUCAAAUCGACCGGCUGGGUCUUCUGUCCCCUAAGCGUUGUGGAAACUAUUCGCUAAAGGGUGUUCGGGAGGCUACGCCGUAAAACAACCCCAUUUCUAAGGUUGACCUCGGAUCAGGUAGGGAUACCCGCUGAACUUAAGCAUAUCAAUAAGCGGAGGA
Molecule: unclassified non-coding RNA, 331 nt
Filed under: soil metagenome
Description: partial contains 5.8S ribosomal RNA, internal transcribed spacer 2, and large subunit ribosomal RNA
Rfam family: 5.8S ribosomal RNA (bases 1-120)
Source: RNAcentral